AUUCCGGUUGAUCCUGCCGGAGGCCAUUGCUAUUGGAGUCCGAUUUAGCCAUGCUAGUUGCACGGGUUGAGACCCGUAGCAGAUAGCUCAGUAACACGUGGCCAAACUACCCUCUGGAGCGCAAUAACCUCGGGAAACUGAGGCUAAUGGCGCAUACGGCUC
Ribosomal RNA from Halobiforma nitratireducens JCM 10879, 162 nucleotides. It matches the Rfam family "Archaeal small subunit ribosomal RNA", at positions 1 to 164 of the family's 1478-position model. NCBI's taxonomy places the organism in Archaea, Methanobacteriati, Methanobacteriota, Halobacteria, Halobacteriales, Natrialbaceae. The record is from Rfam.